Molecule: non-coding RNA, 1118 nt
Organism: Myodes glareolus (Bank vole)
Lineage: Eukaryota; Metazoa; Chordata; Mammalia; Rodentia; Cricetidae
Source: RefSeq, a predicted model, not a curated record
CUUCACAGCCAGUGGCACAGGGCGGCUGGUGCUGAGAAUCACCUGGAACAGGUCAUCCACAAACUUCUGCAGUGUACCCUGCGGGAAGACAAGGCAGCUCAGAGCCCAGGGUAUUCAGACGCCUCCACAGACCCUGGAUCUCGGAAGUGACAUCCUCAUCAGAAAGGACGAGGUGCCCGGCCACUCCGGACCGCCAUUCUGCAAGGACAAGAGAGGACCUGGCUCAGGGCUUUCAGCAUCCUCUUUCUGCCACGCAGCCCAUCCCAUCCUAGGAGACAAGGCCCCUCCAUCCUCUCCAAAGAGCUAGACCAGAACCCUCUCCAGGUGAAAGGUCAUCUGGUAAUGUUCCAGAGCCAGGUUUUGUAGCAACUUCCAACAUCCCACCUGCCCUCACAGCACCAAUCUUGGGCUAUCUCAGGGUCCUCACGCCACCUUGCUCCCGCCCUCACCAACAUCCAAGGUGCGAGAGUCUGGUCGCUGGGCAAGGGGCAGUCCCUUAUACAGCUGGUCAAGCAUCUUCUCCUUGGCCUGAGAGAUGGUGUCACAGUCCAGGACUUUCACGGGUAUACCCUGGGCUUCUCCUGCCCCAGGCCCCACAGCCAGAAGAGCAUUUAAAGUCUACACAAGAAAUGCGAGUGAUUUCAGGACUGGUUCCACAGGCAGGAUGACGGUCAAGGGCAGGGACAAGACUGCAGGCUCUGAGGCCAGCCCAGCACCAUGCAGUCCUUACCUCCUCCCCCGUCUGCCUCCCUGCUUGAUGCAAAUGCUCACAGGGAGAAUGGGAGAAUCCCCAAAUGAGCACAUAACCCUCCAUGUCUCAAAUAGUCUCCCCCUGAUGUGUUAGCUGUUCAGCAGACUAGCCGGGAGUGGGUGACAGGGAAGCUCCAGGCAGGCCUGCCUGCCAAGUGGCUGACUUAUGGGACAAGAUUGCAUCCCUAGUGAGACGGCAAGAAAGCUACUCCGACCCAACACGGAUCGUAAGUCAGGACCCUCUGAGACUCCCACCUCAAUCCUUCCACGCUAGGGUUGUGGCUCAGUGCUGGAAGAACGCUUGCUAAUGUAUGUGAGGCCAUGCGUUCCCACUACAAUAAAUGAAUAAACAGCCCCUCCAGCAGGCA